AAACCAACCUUUAUAAUAAAAUCAAAAGGAGUUAGUUUUACUAGGUCUUUAUUAAAAGUAACCAUAUUAAUCUAAUUUUAAUUGAAGCUUGGCUCUGACUUUAUAGCAUAGUAAAGACUAAAGAAUACACAUGGUCUCUAUUGAGAGGGGCGAGAAAAGGGGAAAGACUGUUUAAAUACAUAAAGUAAAAAGUAGUUUUCCUUAAGAAUAUUAUUAUCUACAAAAUGUUCUGAGUGUUCCGCUAACACCAGUGAUUAAGGUUAAGAUAAAAGCGAAAGCUUGUAUUAGUUUAGUAAUUAGGUCUGGUUAACUUGGUGCCAGCAUCCGCGGUUAGACCAAGAGAUCAAGCUAUGUAUAUCAAGGUAAAAAGGCAGUUAGAUAAGAAAUAUUAUCGGUUUACUCAUUCUUUAUAUAAAGGUAAAAUUUAGAUAUAAAUAAAUAAUUUAAUGUAAACUUGUAUAAAUUGAAUCUGCGACAGCCUUGAGGGAAACUGGGAUUAGAUACCCCAUUAUUCUUGGUCAUAAAUGAAUAAUGAUUUACCAGAGUACUAUGAAUCUUUAAUAAAAUUUAAAACUCAAAGGGCUUGGCGGUGUUUUAGACCUCUCAGGGGAACCUGUCUCAUAAUCGACAAUCCACGUUAAACCUAACCUCUAUUUGCAAUUCAGUUUGUAUACCGUCGUCGUCAGGUAACUUUUAAAAAAUAAGAAGUUGGCAACAAAAUUAGAUAAAUUUAGACGUCAGAUCAAGGUGCAGCCUACAUAGAGGUGAGGAUGGGUUACAAUUAAAACUUAUAAUUACGAAUAGGGUAACGAAACAUUUGCCCUAAUGAAGGAGGACUUGAAAGUAAAAAUAGAUCUAUAUAAACAACUUGAAUAAGGCUCUGAAACGUGCACACAUCGCCCGUCGCUCUCAUUGAAAAACGAGAUAAGUCGUAACAUAGUAGGGGUAAUGGAAAUUGUUCCUGGAUG
Molecule: ribosomal RNA, 968 nt
Filed under: Bursa rhodostoma
Lineage: Eukaryota; Metazoa; Mollusca; Gastropoda; Littorinimorpha; Bursidae
Description: 12S ribosomal RNA
Rfam family: Microsporidia small subunit ribosomal RNA (bases 218-968)
Source: RNAcentral